AGCGAACGCUGGCGGCAGGCCUAACACAUGCAAGUCGAAUGAACUCUUCGGAGUUAGUGGCGGACGGGUGAGUAACACGUGGGAACGUGCCUUUUGGUUCGGAAUAACUCAGGGAAACUUGUGCUAAUACCGAAUGUGCCCUUCGGGGGAAAGAUUUAUCGCCAUUAGAGCGGCCCGCGUCUGAUUAGCUAGUUGGUGAGGUAACGGCUCACCAAGGCGACGAUCAGUAGCUGGUCUGAGAGGAUGACCAGCCACACUGGGACUGAGACACGGCCCAGACUCCUACGGGAGGCAGCAGUGGGGAAUCUUGCGCAAUGGGCGAAAGCCUGACGCAGCCAUGCCGCGUGAAUGAUGAAGGUCUUAGGAUUGUAAAAUUCUUUCACCGGGGACGAUAAUGACGGUACCCGGAGAAGAAGCCCCGGCUAACUUCGUG
This 433-nucleotide ribosomal RNA is filed under the name uncultured bacterium. RNAcentral describes it as "partial 16S ribosomal RNA". It matches the Rfam family "Bacterial small subunit ribosomal RNA", at positions 29 to 507 of the family's 1533-position model. The record is from RNAcentral.